This 398-nucleotide ribosomal RNA is filed under the name uncultured bacterium. RNAcentral describes it as "partial 16S ribosomal RNA". It matches the Rfam family "Bacterial small subunit ribosomal RNA", at positions 523 to 918 of the family's 1533-position model. The record is from RNAcentral.
AUACGUAGGGUGCGAGCGUUGUCCGGAAUUACUGGGCGUAAAGAGCUCGUAGGUGGUUUGUCGCGUCGUCUGUGAAAUUCCGGGGCUUAACUCCGGGCGUGCAGGCGAUACGGGCAUAACUUGAGUACUGUAGGGGAGACUGGAAUUCCUGGUGUAGCGGUGAAAUGCGCAGAUAUCAGGAGGAACACCGGUGGCGAAGGGGGGUCUCUGGGCAGUAACUGACGCUGAGGAGCGAAAGCAUGGGUAGCGAACAGGAUUAGAUACCCUGGUAGUCCAUGCCGUAAACGGUGGGCGCUAGGUGUAGGGGUCUUCCACGACUUCUGUGCCGUAGCUAACGCAUUAAGCGCCCCGCCUGGGGUGUACGGCCGCAAGGCUAAAACUUAAAGGAAUUGACGGGG